GCCGUUGUAGCUCAGCUGGUAGAGCACUUCCAUGGUAAGGAAGUGGUCCGCGGUUCAAGCCCGCGCAACGGCUC
RNAcentral lists this transfer RNA (74 nucleotides) under Parcubacteria group bacterium ADurb.Bin316. Its description in RNAcentral is "tRNA-Thr". It matches the Rfam family "tRNA". From Rfam's summary of the family: Transfer RNA (tRNA) molecules are approximately 80 nucleotides in length. The record is from RNAcentral.